This 232-nucleotide ribosomal RNA is filed under the name Chiroptera sp. B332. RNAcentral describes it as "partial small subunit ribosomal RNA". It matches the Rfam family "Eukaryotic small subunit ribosomal RNA", at positions 109 to 340 of the family's 1831-position model. The record is from RNAcentral. Lineage: Eukaryota; Metazoa; Chordata; Mammalia; Chiroptera.
GUUAUAGUUUAUUUGAUGGUCUUUACUACAUGGAUAACCGUGGUAAUUCUAUGGCUAAUACAUGCGCACAUGCCUCUUCCUCUGGAAGGGCAGUGUUUAUUAGAUACAGAACCAACCCACCUUCCGGUGGUCCUCAGGUGAUUCAUAGUAACCGAACGGAUCGCGUUGACUUCGGUCUGCGACGGAUCAUUCAAGUUUCUGACCUAUCAGCUUUCGACGGUACUGUAUUGGA